AAGACUAUAGACCUGCGGAGUACCUGCGGAAGGAUCAUUACAGAGCCUAAAAACUCUCAAACCCACUGUUAAUUAUACCUUUUUUGUUGCUUUGGCGGGCAGUCCCAGGGCGGGGCUUUGCCUGUAUUUUUGCAGGUGUCCGCCGAAAGCACCCUAAAAUUCUUUUUUUAUAGCUGUCUGAGUUUAAAAAAAAAUAAGUCAAAACUUUCAACAAUGGAUCUCUAGAUCGGAAGAGCACAC
RNAcentral lists this unclassified non-coding RNA (240 nucleotides) under soil metagenome. RNAcentral's name for it is "partial contains 5.8S ribosomal RNA, internal transcribed spacer 2, and large subunit ribosomal RNA". The record is from RNAcentral.